This is a long non-coding RNA of Arabidopsis thaliana (thale cress), 885 nucleotides long. RefSeq annotates it as other RNA. Lineage: Eukaryota; Viridiplantae; Streptophyta; Magnoliopsida; Brassicales; Brassicaceae. The record is from RefSeq. The transcript has a single exon.
CGCAAAAGACGAAAUCACACCUGUAGGGGACGAUAGGUUCGCUUGGGGUAUAGUCCUUGGACUCAUUUGCUUCCUCACUCUAUUUCCUAACAGUGGAGGUACUUUCUCCACUUCAUUCUUCAAUGGACCUUUCUUCCGUGGUGAUGAUUUCUAAAGAAUGUAUAGAUUAAGAUGCAGAAACAAGCAUUGUUCUUAUUUAUUAUUAAUGGUGUUACAAAAGCAUUGUAAAUUCUUGUGGAAUUUGUUUUAUCAUCUUCUAGUAUGCUCUUUUGAACAUAACCUUUAGUGGAACAUCACUUAAAGCAAGUCUUCUCUUUCCAUCUUGCACAAACACUCCAACGUCUCUACAGAUGACUUUGCAGAAAUUGCAGACAGUAGGACAAAACCUGAUCUUGUAAUCUUUUUCAAAUUUGUCGAUCUUGAACCAGUUAUCAACCGUUUUCUGACCGGGAUUCCCUUCAACGCCACAAGUUGAAAUGAACCAUUGUUUCGUCGUCUCGUCGAAAUUGGCUAAUUCCCAGAUCGAAGUUGGAGAGAAUUUGAUGUUUACAUCAGUUGAGACAGGGAUGGUUCUUGAUUUGUCAUAUGGUGAGAAUUUAACCGGUAGGCCUUGAGAGACUUCAAAUUGGUCUUGGAUCACACUUGUGGGACAGGUUUCGGUCUUUAAGUUUGACAUGGUUAGUCCGCCUCCACGGCCGCGAAUUACAGGCAAGAUGUAGUAGUUGACGCCUGUGAGGAGAGAUUUUCCAUUGAUGUCCUUAACUGGUUCGACGGCUGCUUCGGUGGUGACUCCACGGUGGCUGAUGAAGACGGCCAAGAGGAGGAAGAUAUAGAGAAGUGAUGACAUUGUAGGAAGUUUUCUUUUAAUGGAAACUUUUUAGUAUG